CCUACGGGUGGCAGCAGUGAGGAAUAUUGGUCAAUGGACGAGAGUCUGAACCAGCCACGUAGCGUGAAGGAUGACUGCCCUCGGUGUGGUAAACUCUUUUUAUAUGGGAAUAAAUUGUUCUACGUGUGUUAUUUUGUCCGUAUCAUACGAAUAAGGAUCGGCCAACUCCGUGCCAGCAGCCGCGGUAAUACGGAGGUGCCGUGUGUUAUCCGGAUUUAUUGGGUUUAAAGGGAGCGUAGGUGGAUUGUUAAGUCAGUUGUGAAAGUUUGCGGCUCAACCGUAAAAUUGCAGUUGAAACUGGCAGUCUUGAGUACAGUAGAGGUGAGCGGAAUUCGUGGUGUAGCGGUGAAAUGCUUAGAUAUCACGAAGAACUCCAGUUGCGAAGGCAGUUCACUGGACUGCAACUGACACUGAGGCUCGAAAGUGUGGGUAUCAAACAGGAUUAGAUACCCUUGUAGUC
Molecule: ribosomal RNA, 460 nt
Filed under: uncultured bacterium
Lineage: Bacteria
Description: partial 16S ribosomal RNA
Rfam family: Bacterial small subunit ribosomal RNA
Source: RNAcentral